Molecule: ribosomal RNA, 253 nt
Filed under: uncultured bacterium
Lineage: Bacteria
Description: partial 16S ribosomal RNA
Rfam family: Bacterial small subunit ribosomal RNA
Source: RNAcentral
UACAGAGGGGGCAAGCGUUGUUCGGAAUUACUGGGCGUAAAGGGCGCGUAGGCGGCCUGUUAAGUCGAACGUGAAAUCCCCGGGCUCAACCCGGGAACUGCGUCCGAAACUGGCAGGCUUGAAUCCGGGAGAGGGAUGUGGAAUUCCAGGUGUAGCGGUGAAAUGCGUAGAUAUCUGGAGGAACAUCGGUGGCGAAGGCGACAUCCUGGACCGGUAUUGACGCUGAGGCGCGAAAGCGUGGGGAGCAAACGGG